GCACUAGAGCCACCAUGUUUCUUUCUGUUUGUUAGCAGAUUGACCUCUACGCAACCUUUCCACUGUUUUUCCCUUUUUGCCUUCUUUUUCCACCGUUUUGUACCCUUUUUGCCUUCUUUUUUCUUAAAUCCCUUUACUUGCAAUGAACCAUCAUUACUACUUUCUAUCUUUUUAACUUUGCUAAAUAUCUCAUUCAUUUGAGCUUAUAUAUUUAUUUAAUGUCAUUACAGAUUGAUCCAUUGCAGAUACUUUGCACGUGGAGACGGCCUGUGUCCUCACAGACACCGUUGUUUCUAUAGGCAUGAGGUGUUUCCUCACUCUUACAGAUGGCGUUACGGCACGUCACCACCACCACCACCACCACCAGCAGCUCAAUCUUCAGACACUGAGAUUGAGAGGAUUCUUGGAGCUGACGACUACGAUUUCUCGGAUGAUUCUCAUCCAGAUUCUAUAUGAUACAGUCAUCUUGGAUCUCUCUUCGUACUAUUGUUUUUUAGAAACACUGUAUAGUUGAUUUUUGACAUGUUUCACUGUUGUUUUUUUUAGUAGAACUGAUUUUGACUCAAUCUUCUCAACACUCCUACACCGUCAUUCCCAAUCACACAACCAUUCUAAUUAGACAAUUCCAGAAUAAACCCAAUAUUUCUAACAGCAUUCUUAAAUUCACUAUUAAUGAUUACGAAUUCAAAAGCUUAAAAUUAAAUGUACCUUAA
Long non-coding RNA from Medicago truncatula (barrel medic), 713 nucleotides. RefSeq lists it as uncharacterized. The record is from RefSeq and is a predicted model, not a curated record. The transcript is spliced from 3 exons. Lineage: Eukaryota; Viridiplantae; Streptophyta; Magnoliopsida; Fabales; Fabaceae.